RNAcentral lists this ribosomal RNA (571 nucleotides) under Alternaria sp. E-000535766. RNAcentral describes it as "eukaryotic LSU rRNA". The stretch from base 195 to 348 matches the Rfam family "5.8S ribosomal RNA". The record is from RNAcentral. Lineage: Eukaryota; Fungi; Ascomycota; Dothideomycetes; Pleosporales; Pleosporaceae.
CCGUAGGUGAACCUGCGGAGGGAUCAUUACACAAAUAUGAAGGCGGGCUGGAACCUCUCGGGGUUACAGCCUUGCUGAAUUAUUCACCCUUGUCUUUUGCGUACUUCUUGUUUCCUUGGUGGGUUCGCCCACCACUAGGACAAACAUAAACCUUUUGUAAUUGCAAUCAGCGUCAGUAACAAAUUAAUAAUUACAACUUUCAACAACGGAUCUCUUGGUUCUGGCAUCGAUGAAGAACGCAGCGAAAUGCGAUAAGUAGUGUGAAUUGCAGAAUUCAGUGAAUCAUCGAAUCUUUGAACGCACAUUGCGCCCUUUGGUAUUCCAAAGGGCAUGCCUGUUCGAGCGUCAUUUGUACCCUCAAGCUUUGCUUGGUGUUGGGCGUCUUGUCUCUAGCUUUGCUGGAGACUCGCCUUAAAGUAAUUGGCAGCCGGCCUACUGGUUUCGGAGCGCAGCACAAGUCGCACUMWCUAGGGUCAGCAAAGGUCUAGCAUCCAUUAAGCCUUUUUUUCAACUUUUGACCUCGGAUCAGGUAGGGAUACCCGCUGAACUUAAGCAUAUCAAUAAGCGGAGG